UCAAGUAAUUAAGUGCAUGUGGUGGAUGCCUUGGCAGUCAGAGGCGACGAAAGACGUGAUAGCCUGCGAAAAGCUCCGGGGAGGCGGCAAAUAUCCUUUGAUCCGGAGAUGUCUGAAUGGGGGAACCCACUUAUCAUAAGAUAGGUAUUGCAUGAUGAAUACAUAGUCAUGCAAGGCGAACGAGGGGAAGUGAAACAUCUCAGUACCCUUAGGAAAAGAAAUCAAUUGAGAUUCCCUUAGUAGCGGCGAGCGAAAGGGGAACAGCCCAUUAAGUUGUGUGUGUUCUAGUGGAACGCUCUGGGAAGUGCGAACGUAGAGGGUGAUAUUCCCGUACACGAAAGGGCACACACAAUGAUGACGAGUAGGGCGAGGCACGUGAAACCUUGUCUGAAUAUGGGGGGACCAUCCUCCAAGGCUAAAUACUCCUGACUGACCGAUAGUGAACCAGUACCGUGAGGGAAAGGCGAAAAGAACCCCGGCGAGGGGAGUGAAAAAGAACCUGAAACCGUGUACGUACAAGCAGUGGGAGCACCUUCGUGGUGUGACUGCGUACCUUUUGUAUAAUGGGUCAGCGACUUAUAUUCUGUAGCAAGGUUAACCGUAUAGGGGAGCCGAAGGGAAACCGAGUCUUAACUGGGCGUUAAGUUGCAGGGUAUAGACCCGAAACCCGGUGAUCUAGCCAUGGGCAGGUUGAAGGUUGGGUAACACUAACUGGAGGACCGAACCGACUAAUGUUGAAAAAUUAGCGGAUGACUUGUGGCUGGGGGUGAAAGGCCAAUCAAACCGGGAGAUAGCUGGUUCUCCCCGAAAGCUAUUUAGGUAGCGCCUCGUGAAUUCAUCUCCGGGGGUAGAGCACUGUUUCGGCUAGGGGGCCAUCCCGGCUUACCAACCCGAUGCAAACUGCGAAUACCGGAGAAUGUUAUCACGGGAGACACACGGCGGGUGCUAACGUCCGUCGUGAAGAGGGAAACAACCCAGACCGCCAGCUAAGGUCCCAAAGUCAUGGUUAAGUGGGAAACGAUGUGGGAAGGCACAGACAGCCAGGAUGUUGGCUUAGAAGCAGCCAUCAUUUAAAGAAAGCGUAAUAGCUCACUGGUCGAGUCGGCCUGCGCGGAAGAUGUAACGGGGCUAAACCAUGCACCGAAGCUGCGGCAGCGACACUAUGUGUUGUUGGGUAGGGGAGCGUUCUGUAAGCCGUCGAAGGUGACCUGUGAGGGUUGCUGGAGGUAUCAGAAGUGCGAAUGCUGACAUAAGUAACGAUAAAGCGGGUGAAAAGCCCGCUCGCCGGAAGACCAAGGGUUCCUGUCCAACGUUAAUCGGGGCAGGGUGAGUCGACCCCUAAGGCGAGGCCGAAAGGCGUAGUCGAUGGGAAACAGGUUAAUAUUCCUGUACUUGGUGUUACUGCGAAGGGGGGACGGAGAAGGCUAUGUUAGCCGGGCGACGGUUGUCCCGGUUUAAGCAUGUAGGCUGAUUAUCCAGGCAAAUCCGGAUAAUCAAGGCUGAGGUGUGAUGACGAGUCACUACGGUGAUGAAGUAACAAAUGCCCUGCUUCCAGGAAAAGCCUCUAAGCAUCAGGUAACACGAAAUCGUACCCCAAACCGACACAGGUGGUCAGGUAGAGAAUACCAAGGCGCUUGAGAGAACUCGGGUGAAGGAACUAGGCAAAAUGGUGCCGUAACUUCGGGAGAAGGCACGCUGAUAUGUAGGUGAAGCCCCUGCGGGUGGAGCUGAAAUCAGUCGAAGAUACCAGCUGGCUGCAACUGUUUAUUAAAAACACAGCACUGUGCAAACACGAAAGUGGACGUAUACGGUGUGACGCCUGCCCGGUGCCGGAAGGUUAAUUGAUGGGGUUAGCGGCAACGCGAAGCUCUUGAUCGAAGCCCCGGUAAACGGCGGCCGUAACUAUAACGGUCCUAAGGUAGCGAAAUUCCUUGUCGGGU
Molecule: ribosomal RNA, 1940 nt
Filed under: metagenome
Description: bacterial LSU rRNA
Rfam family: Bacterial large subunit ribosomal RNA
Source: RNAcentral